RNAcentral lists this long non-coding RNA (1233 nucleotides) under Coturnix japonica (Japanese quail). RNAcentral describes it as "lncRNA (ENSCJPG00005011797.1)". Lineage: Eukaryota; Metazoa; Chordata; Aves; Galliformes; Phasianidae. The record is from RNAcentral.
AUGCAGGUUAGUGGGCGGCACGCUGCCAUCGCUCCCAGCCCGGAACCCUCCGCACAAGGACCGCGAGCCGCACCGCCAGAGCCCGUCCCGUCACCCCGAACGAAUACACGGAUUUAUACGGCUGCAGCAAUUCUAGAAAUGCGAACCGCGAGCCCGUUUGGAGGCGUAUCGACGCGUCCUUUUAGCGGCACCGGCACCGCCGGCAGCAGCGACCGGCGGGGCAGCGGGGUCCGGCGGCACCCCUGGAAGCGGGGCGGGAUGCGGGGAGCCGCUUUUCUUUGUCUCCGCGGCGCUGACAAAAGCCGUGCCGGCUGCCCCCCAUCACACACGCACCCCACGCCUCGUGCCGGGCAGAAGGAGCGGGACAGAGGGGAGCGCUACCGCGGGACCGCCGGCUCGGGGCACGAUGAGGGACGGCAGGGCAUGGCAUGGCAGGGCAUGGCAUGGCAGGGCAGGGCAGGGCGGCCCCGGCUGCCCCGCAGGCCGCCGUCCGACCCGGGCCGGAGGAGGCGGCGGCGGGCUCCGGAGCCCGGCGGGAGGGCGGCGCGGGGCGCUGAGCUGCAGCCCAACGGGGCUUCCCCGCCACCCCGCGCCCGGCCGCCGUCAGCCCCGCGUCCCCCGCAGCCCCGGGCGUUAAGGACGAACACGCCGCCGGGGAGGAGGGAGCGAGGGGCGGCGGGGCUGGGGCGGCAGGGAAGGCCCGGGGCGGCUCCCGCGGGCGCGGCGCUCACCUGCAGCCGCUCUCACGGCGUUCCCCGGGGCGGGCGCUGGCACUGCGCGGCGAGCCGAGAGGCGGCCCCGACACCGACACCGCCCAUCGCCUUGGCGGCGCCCCGCGGCCGUUCCCCCGCGUUCCCGUGGCCGCACAGCCCCGCCGGCCGGGCAGCCCGCGCGGGUCCCGCCGCGCCUCACGCCGCCACCAUCGCCCUCCUGCCGGCAACGCGCAGCGUCUCGCCCCGGCCCGGCCCGACCCACCGCCCCCCGGCCGGGCGCGGCCCGCCCCCCGCCGUCCCAUUGGCUGAGCCGCGCGCCCCGCACCUCCCAUUGGCCGCCGCUCCGCGUCAAUCACCCGCGGCCGGAGGGGCGAUCCUGCAGCGGGCAGAGCCGAGCGCUGAGGGAAGGCGGCGCUCGCGAGCCCUCCGCUCCUCAGCUCCCACUACGGCCCAUCUCCGUCCCGAUUGGCCGCGGUACCCGAGGAGGCGGGGUCGCGCGUUAGGAAAAGCCUCGCGAUAG